Molecule: long non-coding RNA, 787 nt
Organism: Andrographis paniculata
Lineage: Eukaryota; Viridiplantae; Streptophyta; Magnoliopsida; Lamiales; Acanthaceae
Exons: 2
Source: RefSeq, a predicted model, not a curated record
AUUUUCAAGCCCAGCCCAACUCCCCAACUUAAUCUCUAUAAAACCUGGGAGAGAAAAACGCAAUUAGGGUUCUUAACAAGACAGCCGCUCAUCAGCGCGCAGGCGUCUCCUUCCUCGCUGCCCAGCGAUAUUUCCAGCCCUUCACAUUAACGAAUGGCAUCAUAGUACGGGUUUGUUUUUGCACUGUCAAAUGGAUUUGAGUUUGGGAUUUUUCUAAUAGAAAAGGCAAAAUACAGCCUUUUUUUUCCCCAGGAUUUCCCUAUUCUGUCCGUUUGGCUGAUAAUCGUCGCAAAUCCGCCUCCAAUUGCCCUUACAUUAUACGCAUUUGUUGCUUUUGAAUUUGGAAUUGGGAAAGUGUUUUUGUGUUCUGAGGAGUUGCUUUGUUCGGGUGUUUUGCAAUUUUAGGUUUUAAGAAAUUCCGUUUGGGGUUCCAAUGGAAGUUGGUUUGUUUGUGGUUUGUGGUUUGUGAAGGAUCGACAUCUUCUUCAUCGCAGGUUCUAUAUGAAAGAGGGUAGACUUGCUCAACAGUUUCGAUUGGCCAAUUUGUUGAAUUAAAAUUUGAUAUUUCAAGCAUCAAUCUUGGUUUAAAUUUCGUGGUUUUUAGUUCUAGCUGUAGCUGCUCUGAUUCAAUUCAAGUAGUUGGGAUUUUUUUUUCUAUUCCCAUUUCUUAAAAACUUUUUUUGUUUCGAAAUAGUUGUUUUUGUCGCCAAGUAUUAAGCAUCCAUCUUGAAGUUGUUCUUAGGCCAUUUAUUCUGAAUAUGCAGUUAUUACAUUAAAUUUAUUUCAA